UGAUGAUGAUGAUGAUGAUGAUGAUGAUGAUGCUGAUAAUGAGUACAAAAUCUAUCUAACAAUGUAGUAGUUAGUAUUUCGGAUGAUCAUCAUCAUCAUCAUCAUCAUGCAGUCACA
This 117-nucleotide microRNA precursor is filed under the name Bigelowiella natans CCMP2755. RNAcentral describes it as "miRNA EPrBNAG00000013301". Lineage: Eukaryota; Cercozoa; Chlorarachniophyceae. The record is from RNAcentral.